CGAGGUGUGAGCAAACUGCUUAGGUCGCGAAGCAGGGAAGGCGCUCCGUGCUGCCCUAACCUGUUUGCUCCAGGGAGCAGCCACUGGAGUGGUUUAAGGUACUUGGCGAGGAGUGAAAGAGUUGGAGGAAAGGACCUAGAUACACCAAGCACCAAGCAGCACCGAAUGGCUCAAGGCUAGGCCCAAACAAAGCAGUCAGACCAGCGCCUCAGACUCCUUCCUUCUAAAGGUCACCUCGAUUCCCGACAGCA
This 251-nucleotide long non-coding RNA is filed under the name Heterocephalus glaber (naked mole-rat). Its description in RNAcentral is "lncRNA (ENSHGLG00000026036.2)". The record is from RNAcentral. Lineage: Eukaryota; Metazoa; Chordata; Mammalia; Rodentia; Bathyergidae.